UCUCUGCAGGCGCUCGGGCUCUUUAAGUACAAUAUAGACAAACUUUAUGGAUAACAACUUCUGUAUUUGGUGAGUACGACGUGUCGAUACAGAUUCGUGUAAGGCUGUCUAGCAUAAUGG
This is a long non-coding RNA of Haliotis rubra (blacklip abalone), 120 nucleotides long. RefSeq lists it as uncharacterized. NCBI's taxonomy places the organism in Eukaryota, Metazoa, Mollusca, Gastropoda, Lepetellida, Haliotidae. The record is from RefSeq and is a predicted model, not a curated record. The transcript has 3 exons.